Long non-coding RNA from Amphiprion ocellaris (clown anemonefish), 916 nucleotides. RefSeq lists it as uncharacterized. Lineage: Eukaryota; Metazoa; Chordata; Actinopteri; Pomacentridae. The transcript has 2 exons. The record is from RefSeq and is a predicted model, not a curated record.
GGAAGCAAAUCAGACUCAUCAGAUUCUGAAUUUUAAAAGCUGCUGAAUUUCCUACUUUGAAUUUUUUUGCAUCAAAAUUACGUAUGUGAAUUUUUUAUGCCUGAAUUUAGCUCAUCAAAAUUCUAAAAACCAGUUAAAAAUUCAAUGUCUUCAAAAUUCGCCAUCAAAAAAAUUCAAUGUCUUCAAAAUUCGCCAUCAAAAAAAUUCGAUGUGUUCAAAAUUCACCAUCAAAAAAUUCAAUGUUCAAAAUUCGCCAUCAAAAAAUUCAAUGUUCAAAAUUCGCCAUCAAAAAAUUCAAUGUUCAAAAUUCGCCAUCAAAAAAUUCAAUGUUCAAAAAUUCGCUGUCAAAAAAUUCGCUGUUCACAUCCGGGGGACUCAGGCGUAAACAAUCGAUCCCGGCCAAAAUCGAACCAACGCCCAGCCAAUCACGUGGCGCUCCUCGGGUCAUGUGACGUAGACGGUUCGCCUCACAACAUCGGGGUCAACCACGGAUAACGGCAUGAACAACGGCGCUUCAAUGCACAAUGAGGGACGUCUGCAGCGACUGAGAAAGAGUCUCACCACAUCCUGACAUGAGGAAAAAGACUUUAUUGAAGACUACAAUGAGAAAAACUAUCAGACAGCAGACGGCUGCAUUCAAGGUGAGCUCUGAACAUUUGAUCUGGAACAGGAAUUCAAUAACGGCAGCAUGAGCUUCAUUUCAGUCUGUAGCUGCUGAAUUCAUGGAUGAAUCAUCUGGCACUAGAGAGGAAGACCAUCAAACAUCCACGUCAGCUGAUGGAGGUCCAAGAGUCUCACCAAACAACCUACAGAGUGAAGACCUCAGAUCUGAUUGGACGGCCUCCUAUUCAGCCACGUGUGAACAAAUGCCUCUAAGUUGAUUUGUUUUCUAAAAUAAAUCUAGUGUGAGUCCUAA